GCCCCUGUGGCGCAAUGGACUAGCGUGUUGGACGUCUAAUUCAAAGGUUGUGGGUUCCAGUCCCACCAGGGGUG
This 74-nucleotide transfer RNA is filed under the name Nematostella vectensis (starlet sea anemone). RNAcentral describes it as "tRNA-Arg". It matches the Rfam family "tRNA". Rfam says of the family: Transfer RNA (tRNA) molecules are approximately 80 nucleotides in length. Their secondary structure includes four short double-helical elements and three loops (D, anti-codon, and T loops). Further hydrogen bonds mediate the characteristic L-shaped molecular structure. tRNAs have two regions of fundamental functional importance: the anti-codon, which is responsible for specific mRNA codon recognition, and the 3' end, to which the tRNAs corresponding amino acid is attached (by aminoacyl-tRNA synthetases). tRNAs cope with the degeneracy of the genetic code in two manners: having more than one tRNA (with a specific anti-codon) for a particular amino acid; and 'wobble' base-pairing, i.e. permitting non-standard base-pairing at the 3rd anti-codon position. The record is from Rfam by way of RNAcentral. Lineage: Eukaryota; Metazoa; Cnidaria; Anthozoa; Actiniaria; Edwardsiidae.